Molecule: ribosomal RNA, 463 nt
Filed under: uncultured bacterium
Lineage: Bacteria
Description: partial 16S ribosomal RNA
Rfam family: Bacterial small subunit ribosomal RNA
Source: RNAcentral
GAUGAACGCUGACAGAAUGCUUAACACAUGCAAGUCGAUGGGGAAGUGGUGCUUGCACCAUGGCAACCAUGGCGGACGGGUGAGUAACGCGUAAGGGACUUACCUGCAGGACUGGGAUAACAGGGGGAAACUCCUGACAAGACCGGAUAAUGUCAUGGAGCUGCAUGGCUUUAUGAUGAAAGGAGACGCCUGCGGAGAGCCUUGCGUCCUAUUAGCUAGUUGGUGAGGUAAUGGCUCACCAAGGCGAAGUUAGGUAGCCGGCCUGAGAGGGUGGACGGCCACAAGGGGACUGAGAUACGGCCCUUACUCCUACGGGAGGCAGCAGUGGGGAAUAUUGGACAAUGGGGGCAACCCUGAUCCAGCAAUUCUGUGUGCACGAAGAAGGUUUUCGGAUUGUAAAGUGCUUUCAGCAGGGAAGAAGUAAGUGACGGUACCUGCAGAAGAAGCGACGGCUAAAUACGUG